This 427-nucleotide ribosomal RNA is filed under the name uncultured bacterium. RNAcentral's name for it is "partial 16S ribosomal RNA". It matches the Rfam family "Bacterial small subunit ribosomal RNA", at positions 355 to 774 of the family's 1533-position model. The record is from RNAcentral.
UGGGGAAUAUUGCACAAUGGGCGCAAGCCUGAUGCAGCCAUGCCGCGUGUAUGAAGAAGGCCUUCGGGUUGUAAAGUACUUUCGGCGGGGAGGAAGGUGUUGUGGUUAAUAACCUCAGCAAUUGACGUUACCCGCAGAAGAAGCACCGGCUAACUCCGUGCCAGCAGCCGCGGUAAUACGGAGGGGGCAAGCGGUAAUCGGAAUUACUGGGCGUAAAGCGCACGCAGGCGGUCUGUCAAGUCGGAUGUGAAAUCCCCGGGCUCAACCUGGGAACUGCAUCCGAAACUGGCAGGCUUGAGUCUUGUAGAGGGGGGUAGAAUUCCAGGUGUAGCGGUGAAAUGCGUAGAGAUCUGGAGGAAUACCGGUGGCGAAGGCGGCCCCCUGGACAAAGACUGACGCUCAGGUGCGAAAGCGUGGGGAGCAAACA